This 405-nucleotide ribosomal RNA is filed under the name uncultured rumen bacterium. Its description in RNAcentral is "bacterial SSU rRNA". It matches the Rfam family "Bacterial small subunit ribosomal RNA", at positions 354 to 776 of the family's 1533-position model. The record is from RNAcentral.
GUGGGGGAUAUUGCACAAUGGGGGAAACCCUGAUGCAGCGACGCCGCGUGAGUGAAGAAGUAUUUCGGUAUGUAAAGCUCUAUCAGCAGGGAAGAUAAUGACGGUACCUGACUAAGAAGCACCGGCUAAAUACGUGCCAGCAGCCGCGGUAAUACGUAUGGUGCAAGCGUUAUCCGGAUUUACUGGGUGUAAAGGGAGCGUAGACGGCAAAGCAAGUCUGAUGUGAAAGCUAUGGGCUCAACCCAUAAACUGCAUUGGAAACUGUUUAGCUAGAGUGUCGGAGAGGUAAGUGGAAUUCCUAGUGUAGCGGUGAAAUGCGUAGAUAUUAGGAGGAACACCGGUGGCGAAGGCGGCUUACUGGACGAUAACUGACGUUGAGGCUCGAAAGCGUGGGGAGCAAACAGG